GAGCUGUGCGGUGAGCACAAAGCGAACUAUUCUUUCGCCUUUUACUAAAGAAUACCGUGUGCGCACCGCCAAUAAUAGCAUACGCCUAUUUUUUAAGGGUAUUUCUAUAUUGAAGUGCC
Small nuclear RNA from Malus domestica (apple), 119 nucleotides. RefSeq annotates it as U5 spliceosomal RNA. NCBI's taxonomy places the organism in Eukaryota, Viridiplantae, Streptophyta, Magnoliopsida, Rosales, Rosaceae. The record is from RefSeq and is a predicted model, not a curated record.